AGGCCAUGAUGACGACCUAAAUUGUCUGAAGAAAGGUGACGAAUAAAAAAAUCAUGAACAGAGGAUUGAGCUGAGGCCC
Nycticebus coucang (slow loris) is the source of this 79-nucleotide small nucleolar RNA. RefSeq annotates it as small nucleolar RNA SNORD115. The record is from RefSeq and is a predicted model, not a curated record. The transcript has a single exon. Lineage: Eukaryota; Metazoa; Chordata; Mammalia; Primates; Lorisidae.